UACGAAGGGGGCUAGCGUUGCUCGGAAUUACUGGGCGUAAAGGGAGCGUAGGCGGCUAGUUUAGUCAGAGGUGAAAGCCCAGGGCUCAACCUUGGAACUGCCUUUGAUACUGGCUAUCUUGAGUACGGGAGAGGUGAGUGGAACUCCGAGUGUAGAGGUGAAAUUCGUAGAUAUUCGGAAGAACACCAGUGGCGAAGGCGACUCACUGGCCCGUUACUGACGCUGAGGCUCGAAAGCGUGGGGAGCAAACAGG
RNAcentral lists this ribosomal RNA (253 nucleotides) under uncultured bacterium. RNAcentral describes it as "partial 16S ribosomal RNA". It matches the Rfam family "Bacterial small subunit ribosomal RNA", at positions 524 to 776 of the family's 1533-position model. The record is from RNAcentral.